This 115-nucleotide ribosomal RNA is filed under the name uncultured bacterium. RNAcentral describes it as "partial 16S ribosomal RNA". It matches the Rfam family "Bacterial small subunit ribosomal RNA", at positions 1367 to 1482 of the family's 1533-position model. The record is from RNAcentral.
CCGGUUCCCGGCUUGUACACACCGCCCGUCACACCACGAAGUCGGCAAUACCCGAAGCCGGUGGCCUAACCCGCAAGGGAGGGAGCCGUCGAAGGUAGGGUCGAUGAUUGGGGUG